CAAAUAGAGAAGCCACUUUUGAACUUUUUUUUUACAACUUCCGCCAUCCUGCUUUGAGUCUCACGGAUGCACAUCACAGGAAGCUCCUGAUCUCCCACGAAAGUUGUUUCUAACACCUUCUCCCUCUGCUCCCCUUUGUUCUCCGCAAUGAGCACCUAUGCUCUGCCGCCGCCUCCGCCAUUAGAGAACAAAUGUACCGAGCAACGGCAAUUUCUUUGAGGAGGCAUCGCCUCCUGCUGCUCCAGAUUACAGCUCAUUAGUAGCGGCGUCGGAGAGACACAGCCCACACCGCGGCUCCCCCCCGAUCCCCUCGUCGCUUCCUGCAAUCCCGGUGUGGCGGGACACCGUGACAAAAGCGGCGGAGGUGGUGGUUGUGACGGUGGGGUGUUUUGGACGGGGGGCAAAGACAAGCAGCGAGGGGACUCACAGUUCACCGUUUGCCAGCUGCUGGUGGAGAUGCGAAGAAGCGCUUCGGGGGACUGGAAUGGCGUUGAAGUGAAAGGAAUGCCAGGUUGUUGUCCAAGAGGACGGCGUGUCGCGUUGCUGGCUUGAUCGAGGACCACACGGCGCUGCUGCUGGUUGCCAGAUUUUGGAUUAUCCCGCCUAACAAUGGGCCAAAAGGACCGUUUGGACCGUCUCUCCCUCCGAGCUGCCAGGGGCCGCUCUGCCCCCCCGGCCCCCCAAAGGCUCUCCUCCCCAUUGCACGCACAUGGACGCACGGCCUCUCUGGGACCAGGCUCCCCCCCCCCUCACAUUGAGACUGUUAUUUAACGUGUCCUUGUGUUUAUGGCCAUCCAGUGGCCCACAAGAGAGCCGGUGAGGUAUAUUCUCGUGCACGCACACACAUUUUUUUACACUUAACAAGCGCACGGCGGCCGGAGAAUAUUGUCGAUUUCUUUCAACUUGGCGAUUAAGAACGUGUACACAUGUGUGCGUUUGUGACGCUCUUUUUCCCCACAGUGACUUUUAUUAAGUUGGCUGUCCGCUGUGCGUCUGCAGAACCUGUCUUUGUGUUUGACAUCUGCUGGGAGCAACGCUGGAAUACGUGACCUCCAGGCGCGCAGACAGAACGUAACCAUGGUGGAGACCAGGAUCAGAUCACACUCCGGCUGUCAGAGUCACGACCCCAACUGGAUCAGAGUGAAACCCGUGAAAUAGAACCGGCGCUUUCAGCGUCAGAACCCCAAACCAAAUCUGUCACUCAAACGGCAAACGGAGACCCAGGAAAGGCAGGAGGAGCAAAUGGGAAAGAGAGGAAUUCCUAGAUAGAAAAAUAAGAUAUGCGACCUGGAUCGAUGUCCAGAAGAGGGCCAUUAUACAGACCAGCAGAGAAGACAUCUUCUUGGUGCUGAAGCUUUAAAGGAGAAAAUAGUGGGGAAGCAGCCAAAAAGCCACACAGGCGACUGGAGAUGUAAGACAAGCAGCGGAUGCUGGACGAAAUGGGAAUGAGGAAUAAACCGAUAAAGAAAAACAAAAGGAUCCAGAUACUUUGAUUGUGGCUUCGGGAUGAUUAGUAUGCAAUGUAAUGUCAUGAUAUAGUGUGUCAUAAAAAAACUCAUAAAAAGUCAUAGUAAAGCAUGCAAUAAUAUUUUUGUGAAAAUCUCAUAAAAUAGCAGCUCAUGAAACAUGUCAUAAUAUAUGAUAAAUCUUUGAAAUAAUGCCAUAGCAAUAUCUUCGAAAUGUAAUGAAUAUCAUCAUGAAAAAGUCAUAGAAAUCAUAGCAUGGUUUGUCAUACUUUUAUCUUGUAUGUAUCUGGACUUUUAUCCAAUUUUCAACCUCAUAUAUUUAGGCUUUUUCUUCUAUUACAUUUUUCGACCUAAUAUAUUUUGACUUCAUCUUCCAUAAAAAUGUUUGACCUGAUGUAUUUAAAAUUUCCUUUCCAUAAGAUUGUUUGACCUAAUAUAUUUUUUUACAUAAAUUAUUUAUGCUUUUUCCAUGGCCUUUUUUGACCUAAUGUUUUUUUUAUUUUUUUUCCCAUGAUAUUUUUCAAUCUAAUGUACCAUGACUUUUUUUCUGCACACUUUUUGACCUAAGAGUUUUAAUUUUUCUUUUUUUUUCAUGUCAAAUCAUUUGAAAACGUUUUUCUUGAUUUUUUUAGUGGCAUAGUAUAAUAUCAUAUUUUUAUGACAUUGACAGAACUAUAUUGUGACAAUAUUUUAUAUUAUCUGAUGUCACGCUAUGAGCAACUUUGAGGAAAAGUUACAAGACUUAAAGAGGCUGAAUAAAAUUUGAACAAAAAGGAAAGAAGGAAGAAAAUGAGAAGCUUUAAGAGGGGAUCGAGAACUGCAUUGGGAAAGUACGUUAAGGAAGAUUACAGAGAAAAGAACGAUUAUGUGCAGAAAAUAGAGCGAGGCUGGAAAAGAGCAAACAGUCAACGUUGAGAGCAAGGGAUGGAGCAGGGUGUAUUAGCGACGUAGAUUAGCGCGGCAGCAAAGGGGAUUGUUGACAGCGUCUUUCAUCAGAGAAGAGGGCGGCGGCAGUGUGACGGUUCGCUCCCGCUCAGGUCCUGACCCGUGUUAUUGCAGAGCAGCUCUCAGCAGAUCAGCCGGCUAAAUGAAGCCAUUGUGCUGGAUGGUGCACAGCCUGAUGUUGUUGUAAUGAAGACAAAGCCACAUGUCACAUGCCAACCUGCGACUAUCAGCUCAGCAUGCACACCACACACACACUCGGGCAAGGUCACAUAAGCAUUUCAUGAGCACCAUAGUAUCUGCAGUGUUCCCAGACAGAUCCAAGUGGCGUUAUCUCUAAAUCUCGCCGAUACAGCCGACAUUAGGCUCUAAGAAGAGGAAGAGGUUGGUGAGAUUAUGCUGUAUUCCAAUAUUUCCACGCCUCACCUCCUUCAACACACAAACACAGAGGCCUAUGAUAUUUGAGAAAGGUCCGGGGGUUACUCUGGGCCCGUUGACUCAUCCUGUGAGAAGUGGAGCCCAAACAUUUGCUGUGCACGGCUUCAGUCCCUCAGGGCACCUGCUGCUUCUGACCCCGAGCCCUUCAGCACUGUAAUAAUGGGAACAUUCAUUAGAUUUCAUCUUGCUCAGCAUCAGGAAUGAGAACACCUGAGCCACGGAGGUGCAGAAUGGGUUUGUCAGUGACGUUUUGAUAAUGGUAUACAUACGUCCUUUUAUCAGCGGCUAUGAAUACAUUUAGAUUUCCAUCACAAGGGUAUGUCAGCUGAAGGCUUUCUGAUAAAACCCCAAACCAAACAAGAUUAACAGGUUCACAUAACGACAAAGAUAAAUGAUUAAGCUGCAAUUACUCGGGUCUAUAAUUACUAAGCAAUAUUGGGAAGGAAUUCUAGACCUAUGAGUCAAGAAGUAGCCACUUUCUUGUCCAAAUGACUAUGACAUAUCCUAAAAGUACAUUAACAGUUAUACUGUCUAACAUAAAUAUACAAUUCAGACAAAACAAACAUCCAUGGCACGCCGAGAUGAAGCGUGCUGUGUGGUGAUAAUUAGCACUUAGCACAUUCAUUUUGGCACGCUUAAUGCUAAACGAAAACAGUGAAGAUUACCUGCUAAUCAUCGGCAUGUUGAAAUUGUCGUUAUCAGCAUGUUACGGUGGCAUGCCGGCGUUAGGAGUUUGGCUCGAGCCACUGUUGAGUCAAUGCACAGAGCGGCAGGUGUUAGACUAGGCUUUGUUGUUUGUGUAAGCAUUGAAAUACACAGCAAAUACAUGGCUAUGUGUGUGUGUAUCAGAGCUUUCAGUCGAAUGUGUGUCCCCAAGUGAUCCUCCCGUGAUACAAGGCGGGGGGGCGAGGGGGGGGCAAUGAGGUUGUCAGACAUCCUCCGCGUUGGCUCACAGGUCAAAAUGAGGGCAUCUUUGCCUGUCACCGCUCCUCUGGAGUGUCUCUGCGUGCAUAGGUCUGUGCGUAUGCAUGCGUGUGUGUGUGUGCAUGUGUGUAUGCGUGUCUGCGAGCUGUGUGAAACCCACGGUAGCCUUACCCGUGAACCACUGAGACUACCCUCAGGGAAACGGUGUCAACUGUUUCCCCUCCAAAAAGCCACAAAGCAGGAGUUAAGACAGAUGCAGUCGGGAGAGGUGACCUGAGCAGACCUGUCGCCAUUCGCAAUAUAUUGACUUAUCGCACCGCGUAGGGAGAUGAGUGCGAUCAUUUUGGGUGGUGCGAUGUUCAUUUGACAUAUAAAUGAACGUCACCAACAUUUUAGUCGAUCGUGCUUCCCUCCAGUCUGCUUUCAUUGUUGGAAAUAAUAUCGCAUAUCGCAAUAGACAACCAAUGGGCAACCAGACAAAAUGACCCCCACAGACACACCACACGUACAUUGAAUAGUCUCAUAAAUUAACACAGCAGUAAUGUUAACAAAGCUUAUGCAAACUAAAUAACAGGAGUCGGCAUUCACACAGUAUGUUAUUACAGCUGAGAUUGUGUGUGUCACAAUAACAUUGUUUUACGUUAUUGGGGUGAUAUUAAUGUUUAAUUGGAAUUGGGUUUUUUUCGAUAGUAAAACCUGAGAUGCUUGUUUGAAAGGUGUGAUGUUUAAAUGUGCUUUUUUUAAUGAGACAUAUUUAAGCGAAAUAAAUAAUCCUGCAUGGGUUUCAUACUCUUCGCUUUGGUCCAAAAAACGACCACCCAGGGUCAUAAAAGUAAACUCAUCACACUCAUUAGACAAGAUGUUAUGGACCACACUCACACACACGCACACAGUUGCGUGAAUAUCAAUGAUAUUUUUUGAUAGCCUCUCUCUCCUUUUUGCUCCAUCUCGGUUGUCUUACACCCUUGUCUUCAGGCCACAAUGGAGGACGACCGCUAUAGUGAACCUCUCAGGAGGUUACCGGAACUCCGGAAGAGACCUCGAGAUUCUCACCGGACCGAUUUAGUUGAGGCGGUACAAUCAUCAUGGAUUCGUUGUACCUGUAAUGAAAAGACGCCGGUUCUAUGCUGCUGAGAGAGCAACACCUUUUAGAUGCAAAGGGCAAACACAAGGAAUGCCAUUUGUUUUGUUUUUUUUCAGUCCUCCAGGCAACUAACAUCACCAACAAAGGGUGUCACAAAGAUGGCUUUUAUGUGUGUGCAUGUUUUCAUGAUCCUACAAAACACUAAUCCUGGUAUUUCUGCCCUGGAGGAUAAACAUUCCCCUUAUUACUUGGGGACAUUUUUAGCAUGAUAUCUUUUUAGAAUAAAUCAGGGAGCACCCACCUCUCUGCUCACCUAGUCUCCUUCUCAUCUUCCUCAGAUGGAAGCGCUGAUGCAAAUACUGUUCCUGACAAGAACGUGGCUGGGUUGCAUUUCACGGUUUUCCGAGGUCCAAAUUGUGCACUCAUCAACUGUCCCUCGGCAUCAUUGUGUAGCCUGACUGAGCUCUACUAUCUGUAACUUCCAUGUGUGACCUCCUGCUUGUGAAUUCAGUGUCACUCUUCCAGUAUGAUCCCAGAGCAGCUGCGACAAAGCCUUUAGAGAUUUGCAGCAGUGGCUGAAGGGUUUCACAAUAACAGUGUCGGCCGCUUGCAGCUCUAGAGGAGCCAAGGACUUUGCAGACCACAACUUCUGUUUUUUCUAUGGAUGAAUGUAUGGGGUGCAUGGAUGGAGGUAUAAAUGGGGGCAUAAACAGGAGAAGCGGGAGGCUUUUUGUGCUGCAGCAGAUGGAGGAGCAGCAGGUGUUGGGGUGGGGAGGGACUGGGGUUCCCAUCGUCAGCGUUCCACCAUGAUGCUCCUUGACAGCACCGGGAAUGGAUGUGUGGGAGAAUGUACUCUCUCUCCCCAUUAGCACAACUUCAGCCCAUAGCCGCCUCCACUCCAGACUCUCCUCGCUCUCCUGCUUCCGCAUCAAGCCGAGGGAUACAGAAACAGGUGCGGAAGGUGUCUCCAUCGGCGUCCCGGAGUUGGUGGCGGAUCCAUGAUGCGCGGGUGAUGGAUAGAUGCGUGGCUGGACUGGUGAUGUCUCACAGGGGUCAUGCACCCACCCCCCCCUCCCACACACACACAAACUUAAUGCCACAUUUAUCAUCUGAUCACAACAGCGUGCACUAAAUGACAGUUGGUGAAAUUGGAUUUUGCUCACAUUUCUUUAAGGUUUUUAAAAAACAGAAGGAGUUUUUUUCUUGUGAAUUCGAUGCAAUUAAAAGCGGCUCUUCACUGUAAAGAGGAGGAAGAAACUGACUGAAAAUGACUGCAUCGAUAGGCAAAGAGGCAUGACAACAAUUCACAAAACCAGAUUGGCCAAGUAAGUACCAAAAUAUUUUGUGCAAUGGUUAACUUAAGGCUUUGUAUGAGGAGAAUAACUUUGGACAGCAAAUGAGUCUGUUCAGGUAAUCACACGCUGGCAACGGCGGCUCAGAAAGCGCAAUAAACCUGCUUUAAAUGAGGCUGGGAACCUUUGCUCCGGGGAACCAAUAAACACCCAGACUGGUGCCUCAGCAGGACACACACUAACACACACAACUCGCACAUGUACACAAACCUGCUUGCCACAGGGAAAAUGAGGGCUGAUGAAUAGUGUUGUGCGCCACAUUACUGGAGACAAACAAAUAAGCAGCAUGUGUCACGACUGAUAACACAUAUCCCUCGGUGUGGCGUGUGUACGUCUGAGGACAUCUUGUGCACAUGAGGUGGCAUCUGUCUUUCAUUAAUUCCAAACUACUUCAGUUUGUACAACAUUGCUCAUGUUGCCGUCGCGACACCCUCUCUUCUAGUUUGACAUGGCACUUGAGUUUUCAAAUAUAGAAAAUAAAGCAUUUCAUUUUAAACUGUAUGUUUAGGUGCCCUGAUAAAUAUUUACCCUGUAGGACUUCUGUUUUAUACAGACUUUAAGAAAGGCCCCAACUGACGUGGACGCUCAAUAUACUUCCUCUUAGUCUCACAUAAAAUUCGUAUAGAAAUUUUAAAUGUUGGAUUUUAUCAUUUCAAGAAGGUAUUUUCAGAGGCAUGCCCACGUUUUUUAAUCUUUGUGAAGUUCAAUGCCUCUUUUCCUUUUUAUUCAAGGAAAAGCUGAUUUUUUUUCCUUCAUUUUUUUAAGACAUAACAUAAUCUACAGAUGUGUUAAGUUAUCUCAACAUAAUUCAUACAUUUCUCACAUUAGACAUCGCACAUUUCUGAUGAGAGUUUCGUGUCAGUAGAAUGUAAUUAAAUCAUUUAAAAAUGACAAACUAUUCAAAGCAUGAAGGCAGAAAAGUACUUGAAUAACAUCUGCCCUCUUCAUCAGCCUCAGUGAUUGCUAAAAUCAUACAAGAGGUGAGCGUUUUAAAUUUAUUCAAUAAUUGUUUACUGCUCUAACUUUUGGCUAAGCUGACUUGGCUGAAAUCGGGAAACUGUCCGGUGGACAUCUGAAGCUAUCAGUUGCGAAAGAGGAGAGGGACAGAGAGAGAAGGAGGAAUCCGAGGCGAUAGAAACAGAGAGUUAAUACUCGCUAACGUCUCUCUCGCUGCAGCCUGAGCCCUGCGCUGCGUGUGAAAUCCUCAGAUGGAAUCCCUCCCUUAUUAUUCGUAACUGUUUGUGAGACUCUGCAUGUGCUGCUAUUUGUUCUUUACGUGGAUUACGGUGUAAGUCAUUUCAAAUCCCCCUACCCACCUCCUAUGAUCAGUUGUGAUGUGUAACUUUAUAUUUUUAAUAUUAAAUCAUUUUGCCACCAUGUAUGGUUAAUUGUAAAUAGAAUAUGAUGUGAUCUGCCUCCGAGCCUGUGCAUGUGUCCUUGUCCUUCUUAUUACUCCUUAAAAGUGACGUAAAUGGAAUUUAUUGAAACUUGCAGUGUUUCAGGGUAUUUAUUUAGUUUUUUUGUCUGUCCUGAUUCGGAAUCAAUAUGAUACAAUGUUGUAGUUGCCCCUUUGUUCGGUCUGUGUUCACGAUGCAACAUUUAACAGCAAAAUAAAUAUUGUAAACAAACACCA
This is a long non-coding RNA of Gasterosteus aculeatus aculeatus (three-spined stickleback), 7839 nucleotides long. RefSeq lists it as uncharacterized. NCBI's taxonomy places the organism in Eukaryota, Metazoa, Chordata, Actinopteri, Perciformes, Gasterosteidae. The record is from RefSeq and is a predicted model, not a curated record.